Molecule: transfer RNA, 86 nt
Filed under: Armatimonadota bacterium
Lineage: Bacteria; Bacillati; Armatimonadota
Description: Armatimonadetes bacterium (activated sludge metagenome) tRNA-Ser
Rfam family: tRNA
About the family: Transfer RNA (tRNA) molecules are approximately 80 nucleotides in length.
Source: RNAcentral
GGAGCGAUGGCAGAGUGGUCGAUUGCGGCGGUCUUGAAAACCGUUGACCGAAAGGUCCGGGGGUUCGAAUCCCUCUCGCUCCGCCA